GAUGAACGCUAUCUACAGGCUUAACACAUGCAAGUCGAGGGGCAGCAUGGUCUUAGCUUGCUAAGGCCGAUGGCGACCGGCGCACGGGUGAGUAACACGUAUCCAACCUGCCGUCUACUCUUGGACAGCCUUCUGAAAGGAAGAUUAAUACAAGAUGGCAUCAUGAGUCCGCAUGUUCACAUGAUUAAAGGUAUUCCGGUAGACGAUGGGGAUGCGUUCCAUUAGAUAGUAGGCGGGGUAACGGCCCACCUAGUCUUCGAUGGAUAGGGGUUCUGAGAGGAAGGUCCCCCACAUUGGAACUGAGACACGGUCCAAACUCCUACGGGAGGCAGCAGUGAGGAAUAUUGGUCAAUGGGCGAGAGCCUGAACCAGCCAAGUAGCGUGAAGGAUGACUGCCCUAUGGGUUGUAAACUUCUUUUAUAAAGGAAUAAAGUCGGGUAUGGAUACCCGUUUGCAUGUACUUUAUGAAUAAGGAUCGGCUAACUCCGUGCCAGCAGCCGCGGUAAUACGGAGGAUCCGAGCGUUAUCCGGAUUUAUUGGGUUUAAAGGGAGCGUAGAUGGAUGUUUAAGUCAGUUGUGAAAGUUUGCGGCUCAACCGUAAAAUUGCAGUUGAUACUGGAUAUCUUGAGUGCAGUUGAGGCAGGCGGAAUUCGUGGUGUAGCGGUGAAAUGCUUAGAUAUCACGAAGAACUCCGAUUGCGAAGGCAGCCUGCUAAGCUGCAACUGACAUUGAGGCUCGAAAGUGUGGGUAUCAAACAGGAUUAGAUACCCUGGUAGUCCACACGGUAAACGAUGAAUACUCGCUGUUUGCGAUAUACUGCAAGCGGCCAAGCGAAAGCGUUAAGUAUUCCACCUGGGGAGUACGCCGGCAACGGUGAAACUCAAAGGAAUUGACGGGGGCCCGCACAAGCGGAGGAACAUGUGGUUUAAUUCGAUGAUACGCGAGGAACCUUACCCGGGCUUAAAUUGCAGAUGAAUUACGGUGAAAGCCGUAAGCCGCAAGGCAUCUGUGAAGGUGCUGCAUGGUUGUCGUCAGCUCGUGCCGUGAGGUGUCGGCUUAAGUGCCAUAACGAGCGCAACCCUUGUUGUCAGUUACUAACAGGUUCCGCUGAGGACUCUGACAAGACUGCCAUCGUAAGAUGUGAGGAAGGUGGGGAUGACGUCAAAUCAGCACGGCCCUUACGUCCGGGGCUACACACGUGUUACAAUGGGGGGUACAGAGGGCCGCUACCACGCGAGUGGAUGCCAAUCCCCAAAACCUCUCUCAGUUCGGACUGGAGUCUGCAACCCGACUCCACGAAGCUGGAUUCGCUAGUAAUCGCGCAUCAGCCACGGCGCGGUGAAUACGUUCCCGGGCCUUGUACACACCGCCCGUCAAGCCAUGGGAGCCGGGGGUACCUGAAGUGCGUAACCGCGAGGAGCGCCCUAGGGUAAAACUGGUGACUGGGGCUAA
Molecule: ribosomal RNA, 1452 nt
Filed under: uncultured organism
Description: 16S ribosomal RNA
Rfam family: Bacterial small subunit ribosomal RNA
Source: RNAcentral